RNAcentral lists this transfer RNA (69 nucleotides) under Eospalax rufescens. Its description in RNAcentral is "tRNA-Asp". Lineage: Eukaryota; Metazoa; Chordata; Mammalia; Rodentia; Spalacidae. The record is from RNAcentral.
AAGAUAUUAGUAAAUUAAUUACAUAACUUUGUCAAAGUUAAAUUAUAGGCUAAUAACCUAUAUAUCUUU